This 331-nucleotide ribosomal RNA is filed under the name uncultured bacterium. RNAcentral describes it as "bacterial SSU rRNA". It matches the Rfam family "Bacterial small subunit ribosomal RNA", at positions 130 to 474 of the family's 1533-position model. The record is from RNAcentral.
CCUUGACUCUGGGAUAAGCGUUGGAAACGACGUCUAAUACCGGAUACGACUCUUGGAGGCAUCUCUGGGGGUGGAAAGAAUUUUGGUCAAGGAUGAGCUCGCGGCCUAUCAGCUUGUUGGUGAGGUAAUGGCUCACCAAGGCGACGACGGGUAGCCGGCCUGAGAGGGUGACCGGCCACACUGGGACUGAGACACGGCCCAGACUCCUACGGGAGGCAGCAGUGGGGAAUAUUGCACAAUGGGCGAAAGCCUGAUGCAGCAACGCCGCGUGAGGGACGACGGCCUUCGGGUUGUAAACCUCUUUUAGUAGGGAAGAAGCGUAACAGUGACG